CCCGCGGAUGGGCGACGGGCGUUCGUGGCCUACGUCCGCGACGAGGGCGGCGCACGGCUCUGCACCGUGCGGCUGGACC
Molecule: transfer RNA, 79 nt
Filed under: Methylorubrum aminovorans
Lineage: Bacteria; Pseudomonadati; Pseudomonadota; Alphaproteobacteria; Hyphomicrobiales; Methylobacteriaceae
Description: tRNA-Val
Source: RNAcentral